RNAcentral lists this long non-coding RNA (2771 nucleotides) under Ailuropoda melanoleuca (giant panda). RNAcentral describes it as "lncRNA (ENSAMEG00000023770.1)". The record is from RNAcentral. Lineage: Eukaryota; Metazoa; Chordata; Mammalia; Carnivora; Ursidae.
GUAAAUAGUUCAGCAUGAUUACAUGUUUAUAAAGCACAGUGGAUGUAUUCUAACAUUUUCCCACCUGGAAAAAUUGAGCUUAAGCAUCUUCAGCAAUCUAGAAGCCACAUCGUGUUCUUCCCAAUGUGUCAUGUCAUCUUUAUAGUAAUCAUGUACUUGUAGAAAUGGGACUGGUUGGUGGUGGUAAUUGUAAAGGUUCUGGUGUAGAAAUUGCAGAUGGAGAGCGAGGCUCUGGGGAUGGACGUGGAGGAGCCGAAAGGAGCCUGGAGAAAAAGGCUGUCAUAUUUGCUCAGAAGAACCGCCAAAUCAGAGAGCAGAGGAGAUUUCAUUGGAGGAGCGCCUUCAACAGCAACUAAUCCUGUCAUAUUGAAAGAAAAUUGUAAAUGUUCUCUCCAGAAAUUGUCCGCCCAUUGCAGGAAUCGAACACACACGCAGGAACACAGACACGGUCUCCUGCUAUACCAAAGGCGCCUGGGCGCAUAGACCGGCUCCAGCGAGCGAGCCGCCGCACGCGCGCGCGCACACACACACACGGUAACACACACAGAGACACACACUCUCGGGCGCGCGCCGUCUCUCUCUCUCUCUCUCUCUCUCUCUCUCUCUCACACACACACACACACACACACGCACACACACGCGCGCGCGCCAGCCUGCGGGUUGGCUAAGGGCCUUCAAACCGCAGAUCCCACUAGGACAUCGCCAGAGGCACUGAAGUAGGUGUUGCCCCCCACACUAAUUACUACUUCCCCACUUUGUUGAAGAAAUGAAUCCCGCCCAGCUCGCGGGUGCAUCCAGGUCUUGGUUCUGUUAUGCUCUCCAGACUCGUCUUCGUGCAAGCCAGAUCAAGGGAGAAAAGGAGCUGGCGGCUGGCUUCGGACUCUGAGCGGUGCGCAGCUUGUUCCGGGGCCAGUCAGCCCCGAACCCGCGAAAGGCUCCUCACUCCUGCCAGCCUUCGUCAACGAAAUCACAGCCCCGAGAGGCAGCUGGAGCUACACCGGCGGCAGGAACAUUUUAGGGCAAGAGGAAAAGAGGCUCUUGCAAAGACACCCCCACCUCGCCAUCAUAAAAAGGCAGCAAUAAGAACGAACAAGCUUUUCAAGGUAGUAUCAUGUUUUGUUUUGUUUUUUUUAAAGAUUUUAUUUAUUUAUUUAUUCGACAGAGACAGAGACAGCCAGCGAGAGAGGGAACACAAGCAGGGGGAGUGGGAGAGGAAGAAGCAGGCUCCCAGCGGAAGAGCCUGAUGUGGGGCUCGAUCCCAUAAAGCCGGGAUCACGCCCUGAGCCAAAGGCAGACGCCCAACUACUGUGCCACCCAGGCGCCCCUCAAGGUAGUAUCAUGUUUUAAAUUGAUACAGUGUCAGAUGAUCUUACAGGAAGUCAGCUGGAGAAUGGAAGAGAUUAAAAUGGUCUGUAUGCUUACUUACAGAGAACACAAGAUAUCUCAAAUUAAAUUCCACAAAAAAAAUGUGCAUACUCAUAAAUAUAAGCAAAAACAUUGGCAAAUAGACUCAGAGAGUUUAAUACAUAUAGACACCGCCUUUUCCUAUAUACAAAAGGGGAUAUCUGGACUCCUAUUUAAACACAAGGGCAGGAUCAAAUUGAAAAUCACGCAUAGCUCUGUGGCAGACAGGACUCUCAGGGAUGUGAAUGUGGGCUUACCAACAAACCAUGGCUACAGUAAGAGGACUAAAGUGACCCUCCAAGUUGGUUUUCUCCAUGGAAGCAGGGGCCUCUGACAGCAGGGCGUGAAGGAAGCUGGUAGAGAAGCAGCCGCAUCUGCCAGGCCACUGAGUAGGCUCUCCAUUGAGAGAUACCUAUAGGUAGGUAUGGAUUUGCAGGUGCACAUAAGCACAGAGAAGAGCUCUAAGGGAAGGAUGCACAGAGUGGGAAGUGCAAGAAAUGGUGUAUGUGUGGGUGGGGAGGACUGGGUAAGAGGUCAACUAGAAGAAAGCGAAGGAUUAAGAAAAAAAAAAUAAAACAAAAACCCCAAUAAACCUUGAGUUUGGUAUCAGUCACAUGUAUAGUAUGGAGAAUCUUCCUGGAGACCUUCUCACCUCAAUUUUUAAGAACAUGUUUCCUUGUUUUUAUGAACAUUAACUAUUACAUUCCAGCUAACAUUUAUUGGGCACUUUGCUGUGGACCUGGCUAAAGGCUCGUUUAUUUCAUAUAGUAUCUCAAUUAAUCCUUAAAAGUUGGUGAUCCGUUGUGCUUUUUUGUUAGUGAAGAAGAUGGCAGAGAGCAGAAAGGCUAAAUGAUUGUCCAAGAUUGUGCUUCUAGUACUUCAAAACCAGCUUAGAAAUAAGAUAAAAGAAAAAAAAAGAAAUAUGAUCAAAGAGUUUAAGCACCAUGACAUGCUUUCAUGUUGACCCAAAUGACCUCCAAGAGUCAGCUUAAUUCUUCUGAUCUUGCACAAAUUGUAUUAUAUGGAAUGAAAAACAGCAAUAUGUUGACAUGGAGGGAGAACCAGAGCGGGAACUUUGACAGAGUUUAUCCUGCCUUGCUCCUAGCUAAAUUCCCCCAGGUAAAUCAUCCAACUCCUAGAAUCAGUUGCCGCAGCUGGCAAAUGGGAGUAACAACCUAUCUCAGGGGUUUUCCUGUAAAUCAAGUUAUAAAAUGCUUGUGAAGGAAAAAGUAAUGUAUGAAUGCAAAGUAUUUGGGUCCUGUAAUCAGAAGGCCUUCAGGAACUUUGAGAAUGGAAGCAAAAUCCAUGAUAUAAACUGAUAAAUUAUAUUAAAUCAUUUUUUUGUAUUGAUUUGUAAAGCAUUUUUG